AGUCCCGUGCCUCCUGGCUCCAACGCCUACGUUUCCCAGACUUCCAUGUCUCCUGGCUCCAAUGCCUGCAUUUCCCAGAGUCCGUGCUCAUGAUCCCAGGUCUUCCAGGACUUUCUUGUCUGGCUGAGGGCCGUGUAUUUCAGUUCCGCACUCUUGCGCUUAUUGGCCAGAGUUAGACUCUGUUGUUUGUUUGUUCUUAAGUUUGUGUCCUUAGUUAUAGUCUCUGUGUUUGUUUAGUAUCCCCUGUUAGUUUCAUAGUUACUCCCCGUUUGUGUUCCCCAGCGUUACAAGGUUCUCAACCUUUCAAAUGCUCUGAUGUCCAAUGUACCUGAUGUUGUAAACUACUGAUCCCCUCAAUAUUCUACAAAAAUAAUUUUACUUUAAAUAUACUGCAAAUGUCUUGUUGUGUUUGCCUUGACUGAAUUAAGACUAUAUUAUCACUUUAGGCUGUCAGACUGCAGUAUCACAGAGGAGGGCUAUGCUAGUCUGGCUUCAGCCUUGAGGUUAAAUCCCAAUCAUCUCAGAGAGCUGGAUCUCAGAGGAAAUGAUCCGGGGGAAUCAGGAGUCAAACUGCUUUUAGACCUGAAGGAGGACCCACAGUGUAAACUGAAAAAUCUCAGGUUCCUGAAGGGGAGUGCUGCUGAGGAAGCCUGUGCUGCUGUGACUUCAGCUGUGGGUUCAAACCCCUUACUCAUGACUAAGCUGAGUCUGAGUAAGCUCAUGCCAGAAUCCUUGGGAGUGACUCAGCUGUGUGCUUUACUGGAGGAUUCCCACUGCAGACUGCAACAACUGAUCCUGUCAAACUGCAGUAUUACA
This is a long non-coding RNA of Clupea harengus (Atlantic herring), 816 nucleotides long. RefSeq lists it as uncharacterized. The record is from RefSeq and is a predicted model, not a curated record. The transcript has 3 exons. NCBI's taxonomy places the organism in Eukaryota, Metazoa, Chordata, Actinopteri, Clupeiformes, Clupeidae.